RNAcentral lists this ribosomal RNA (495 nucleotides) under uncultured bacterium. Its description in RNAcentral is "bacterial SSU rRNA". It matches the Rfam family "Bacterial small subunit ribosomal RNA", at positions 95 to 606 of the family's 1533-position model. The record is from RNAcentral.
GUGGCGAACGGGUGAGUAACACGUGGGUAAUCUACCCUUAAGACGAGGAUAACAGUUGGAAACGGCUGCUAAUACUGGAUAGGUAUAUUUGAGGCAUCUUGAAUAUAUUAAAGAUUUAUCGCUUAAGGAGGAGCCUGCGGCGCAUUAGUUAGUUGGUGGGGUAAAAGCCUACCAAGACGAUGAUGCGUAGCCGGACUGAGAGGUUGAACGGCCACAUUGGAACUGAGAAACGGUCCAAACUCCUACGGGAGGCAGCAGUAGGGAAUUUUCGGCAAUGGGGGGAACCCUGACCGAGCAACGCCGCGUGAUUGAAGAAGCUCUUCGGAGCGUAAAGAUCUUUUAUUGGGGAAGAAAAAAAUGACGGUACCCAAUGAAUAAGCCCCGGCUAACUAUGUGCCAGCAGCCGCGGUAAUACAUAGGGGGCAAGCGUUAUCCGGAAUUAUUGGGCGUAAAGGGUGCGUAGGCGGCUGUUUAAGUCUUUGGUGUAAGUGCAGU